GAUGAACGCUGGCGGCGUGCCUAACACAUGCAAGUCGAGCGGCAGCGAGGGGUGCUUGCACCCUGUCGGCGAGCGGCGGACGGCUGAGUAACGCGUGGGAACGUGCCCCAAAGUGAGGAAUAACUGCCCGAAAGGGUAGCUAAUACCGCAUAUUAUCUUCGGAUCAAAGGAUUUAUCCGCUUUGGGAGCGGCUCGCGUCGGAUUAGGUAGUUGGUGAGGUAAUGGCUCACCAAGCCGACGAUCCGUAGCUGGUCUGAGAGGAUGACCAGCCAGACUGGAACUGAGACACGGUCCAGACUCCUACGGGAGGCAGCAGUGAGGAAUCUUCCACAAUGGGCGAAAGCCUGAUGGAGCAACGCCGCGUGCAGGACGAAGGCCUUCGGGUUGUAAACUGCUUUUAUAAGUGAGGAAUAUGACGGUAACUUAUGAAUAAGGAUCGGCUAACUACGUGCCAGCAGCCGCGGUCAUACGUAGGAUCCGAGCGUUAUCCGGAGUGACUGGGCGUAAAGAGUUGCGUAGGCGGUUGUAUAAGUGAAUAGUGAAAUCUGGUGGCUCAACCAUACAGGCUAUUGUUCAAACUGUACAACUUGAGAGUGGUAGAGGUCACUGGAAUUUCUUGUGUAGGAGUGAAAUCCGUAGAUAUAAGAAGGAACACCAAUGGCGUAGGCAGGUGACUGGACCAUUUCUGACGCUAAGGCACGAAAGCGUGGGGAGCGAACCGG
Molecule: ribosomal RNA, 722 nt
Filed under: uncultured Candidatus Saccharibacteria bacterium
Lineage: Bacteria; Candidatus Saccharimonadota
Description: bacterial SSU rRNA
Rfam family: Bacterial small subunit ribosomal RNA
Source: RNAcentral